AUGUCCCGAGUCCCCGAGAGAGCAAGAAACGGAAACCCCAUUCCCCCCUCCCCUCCACACUCCCGAUGUCCCGAGUCCCGAGUCCCCGAGAGAGCAAGGAAACGGAAACCCCAUUCUUCCCCCCACCCCUCCGUACUCCAGAAGUCCAGAUCGAUCCCAAUGGCGUCGUCCACGCUUCGCUGCCUUCCAGGCGACAUCCCGCCGACGACGCUGCUCACCCUACCAGAGGAGAUGCUCGAGGAAAUCCUCCUCUGCCUCUCCGACGCCGCCGACCUCGUCCGCGCCUCCAUGGCCCGCGUCUCCAUCCGCCGCCUCGUCACCAAUCACCGAUUCCUCCGCCGCUUCCGCACUCGCCACCCGCCGCCUCUACUGGGCAUCGUUUCUCCCUAUCCCCUGCACCGGUGGGACCGGCCGCUGCUGAAUCUGGCCCAGCCGCCGCACCCCUCCGCCGCCGCCGCGAGCGCUUUUUCUGGGCUUGACGCCGCCGACUUCUCGUGCACCUUCCUCCCCAACGCCGCGCGCUGGCGGCGCGACUUGCGGGACGGCCGCGUCCUCCUUUCCGGCCUCCCAAAGGGAACCAAAUUCAACAGCCACGCCUUUGUCAGGGACCUGGCUGUCUCUGACCCCCUGUCCCGGCGGUACAUACUGCUACCUCCCAUCCCCGACGACCUAGCCGCCUUGGUGCAGCCGCCGGACUUGGUGCGAUUCGAUCCCUUCCUUGCUCCUCCGGUCGCCGAGGAUGAGGAUGGCAUGUCUUUCAGAGUUAUUUGCUUGGCGCAUUGCACAACCAAGCUGGUCCUCCUCAUCUUCUCUUCAAGUGCUGGACAGUGGCAUCCUGUUACACUUGAAAAUUGGAUCGGUUUGCUCACAGGAUCAGACAACCCGGCUCCAGGCAACCAUCAAGACUUGUACUGGUUGCCGCGAAUGCGCCACUAUGCACACGGAUAUUUCUGUUGGGCAUUUUACGCAAAGGGAUCCAUGUAUCCGGUGAGCAAGUUGCUGAUGCUCGACACACAGAGCAUGGGUUUCUCUGCAGUCGACCUUCCGCCUCUCACCGAUAACACACGGGUUAUCAUUCUGGAGGCAGAGAAUGGAAGGAUUGGGAUGUAUAUGAAUGAGAAUUUGACAGCUGAACUAAGGUAUUAUGUGUUACAAAAUGAUGGAGUUGGUGAAAACCAGUGGCUGCAAAAGGAAACGCUCACUUUAAAUGAUCGCUAUAUGCUCAUUGGCGUAGCGGGGGGAUACUUACUUCUACAAGGGCUUCGACAAGACCAAUAUCCUUUUUUUUUGGUUUCAUUGGAUCUGAAGACUUUGGAGCUUGAGUGGUUCCUUGCAUCAAGGCACACCAACGUGGGUGCUCGUUUGUUUGCCAGUUUCCCACCAUCAUUGUCUCCCCCAACUCUUCGACAUGAUAUCUGA
RNAcentral lists this ribosomal RNA (1419 nucleotides) under Triticum aestivum (bread wheat). RNAcentral's name for it is "partial small subunit ribosomal RNA". Lineage: Eukaryota; Viridiplantae; Streptophyta; Magnoliopsida; Poales; Poaceae. The record is from RNAcentral.